Molecule: ribosomal RNA, 327 nt
Filed under: uncultured eukaryote
Lineage: Eukaryota
Description: partial 18S ribosomal RNA
Rfam family: Eukaryotic small subunit ribosomal RNA
Source: RNAcentral
CCCUUAGAUGUUCUGGGCCGCACGCGCGCUACACUGAAUGGAUCAACGUGUUUUCCCUUCCCGAGAGGGACGGGUAACCCGCUGAACCCCAUUCGUGGUAGGGAUCGGAGCUUGCAAUUGUUCUCCGUGAACCAGGAAUUCCCAGUAAGCGCAAGUCAUAAGCUUGCGUUGAUUACGUCCCUGCCCUUUGUACACACCGCCCGUCGCUGCCCGGAACUGAGCCAUUUCGAGAAAAAUGGGGACAGACUGCUUGUGGGUGCGCAAGCACUUCUUGCAGAUUGAAACCAUCUUGAUCGGUAUGGCUUGAACCGGGCAAAAGUCGUAACA